CCUAACACAUGCAAGUCGAACGGGAAGCGGUGCAUAUUGCUUCGGUGAUAAUGUGCCGUGGAGAGUGGCGAACGGGUGCGUAACACGUAGGUAACCUGCCCUGAAAGGGGGGAUAACCACGGGAAACUGUGGCUAAUACCGUAUAAUCUCGCCGUGGCGGUGGUUACGGUGAGGAAAGCUGAGGCGAUUUGGGAGGGGCCUGCGGUCGAUUAGCUGGUUGGUGGGGUAAAGGCCCACCAAGGCGAUGAUCGAUAGCUGUUCUGAGAGGAAGACCAGCCACACGGGAACUGAGACACGGUUCCGACUCCUACGGGGGGCA
This 319-nucleotide ribosomal RNA is filed under the name uncultured bacterium. RNAcentral describes it as "bacterial SSU rRNA". It matches the Rfam family "Bacterial small subunit ribosomal RNA", at positions 47 to 350 of the family's 1533-position model. The record is from RNAcentral.